Molecule: ribosomal RNA, 446 nt
Filed under: uncultured bacterium
Lineage: Bacteria
Description: partial 16S ribosomal RNA
Rfam family: Bacterial small subunit ribosomal RNA
Source: RNAcentral
CCUACGGGUGGCUGCAGUCGAGAAUCAUUCACAAUGGGGGAAACCCUGAUGGUGCGACGCCGCGUGGGUGAAUGAAGCUCUUCGGAUGUUAAACCCCUUUCAUGUGGGGGCAAAUUAAAAAGAUAGUACCACAAGAGGAAGAGACGGCUAACUCUGUGCCAGCAGCCGCGGUAAUACAGAGGUCUCAAGCGUUGUUCGGAAUCACUGGGCGUAAAGCGUGCGUAGGCGGUUUCGUAAGUCGGAUGUGAAAGGCGCGGGCUCAACCCGGGGACGGCAGAUGAUACUGCGAGACUAGAGUAAUGGAGGGGGAACUAGAAGUCUAGGUGUAGCAGUGAAAUGCGUAGAGAUCGAGAGGAACACUCGUGGCGAAGGCGGGUUCCUGGACAUAAACUGACGCUGAGGUACGAAGGCGAGGGGAGCGAAAGGGAUUAGAUACCCGGGUAGUC